GGUGGAUGCCUUGGCAUCAGGAGCCGAUGAAGGACGUAGGAGGCUGCGAUAAGCCUCGGGGAGCUGUC
Molecule: ribosomal RNA, 68 nt
Filed under: Nocardia cyriacigeorgica
Lineage: Bacteria; Bacillati; Actinomycetota; Actinomycetes; Mycobacteriales; Nocardiaceae
Description: partial 23S ribosomal RNA
Source: RNAcentral